This 460-nucleotide ribosomal RNA is filed under the name uncultured bacterium. RNAcentral's name for it is "partial 16S ribosomal RNA". It matches the Rfam family "Bacterial small subunit ribosomal RNA", at positions 338 to 795 of the family's 1533-position model. The record is from RNAcentral.
CCUACGGGAGGCAGCAGUGAGGAAUAUUGGUCAAUGGACGCAAGUCUGAACCAGCCAUGCCGCGUGCAGGAAGACGGCUCUAUGAGUUGUAAACUGCUUUUGUACGAGGGUAAACGCAGAUACGCGUAUCUGUCUGAAAGUAUCUUACGAAUAAGGAUCGGCUAACUCCGUGCCAGCAGCCGCGGUAAUACGGAGGAUCCGAGCGUUAUCCGGAUUUAUUGGGUUUAAAGGGAGCGUAGGCGGUCGGUUAAGUUAGAGGUGAAAUCUCGAGGCUCAACUGUGGAAUUGCAUUUGAUACUGGCAGGCUAGAGAGUAGUUGAGGUAGGCGGAAUGCAUGGUGUAGCGGUGAAAUGCUUAGAGAUCACACAGAACACCGAUUGCGAAGGCAGCUUACCAAGCUGCAUCUGACGUUGAGGCACGAAAGCGUGGGGAGCAAACAGGAUUAGAUACCCGAGUAGUC